Molecule: unclassified non-coding RNA, 273 nt
Filed under: air metagenome
Description: partial contains small subunit ribosomal RNA, internal transcribed spacer 1, and 5.8S ribosomal RNA
Rfam family: Eukaryotic small subunit ribosomal RNA (bases 1-46)
Source: RNAcentral
AAGUCGUAACAAGGUUUCCGUAGGUGAACCUGCGGAAGGAUCAUUAUCGAGUUCUGACGUGAGUUGUCGCUGGCCUCUCGGGGCAUGUGCACAUUCAUUGUUCAUCCACUCACACCUGUGCACACUUGUAGUUUCUUCAAAGGACGGAAGCCUUUCAUUAGGUGGAAGUCUGGCGGGGACUCUACGUAUUUUAUACACACUCAAAGUCUAGAAUGUAACCUUUGCUAUAAACGCAUUUAAAUACAACUUUCAACAACGGAUCUCUUGGCUCUC